This 253-nucleotide ribosomal RNA is filed under the name uncultured bacterium. RNAcentral's name for it is "partial 16S ribosomal RNA". It matches the Rfam family "Bacterial small subunit ribosomal RNA", at positions 524 to 776 of the family's 1533-position model. The record is from RNAcentral.
UACGGGGGGGGCAAGCGUUGUUCGGAAUUACUGGGCGUAAAGGGUUCGUAGGUGGCCUACUAAGUCAUACGUGAAAUCCCUCAGCUUAACUGGGGAACUGCGUCUGAGACUGGAAGGCUUGAGUGCAGGAGAGGAACGCGGAAUUCCAGGUGUAGCGGUGAAAUGCGUAGAUAUCGGGAGGAACACCAGUGGCGAAGGCGAUCUUCUGGACGGAUACUGACGCUGAGGCGCGAAAGCUAGGGGAGCAAACGGG